CUUAAUUAUCCCAUGAAAGACUAGGAAAAUAUGUUAUUUAUGCUGAAGUAUAAGUACAAAGGCAGAAUGUUUCCACUAGUUACUGCUCACUUUUCUUGGUUAUUAAGAGACUUUUCUCUUAUUCUUUAGUUUAAGUGUGAAGGAAAGUUGAAGUUCUUGAAGAAUUCAAGUUAAAGGGAGAAGUUGCAUAGAUUGAGCUAAGGUGACUGCUCCUUUUUUGUCCUCUUUAUGUAUGAGUUUGGAUAAAGAAUUACAAGUGUAUUUUUAUUAAGAACUCAAGGGAUGGUGAGUUCAAUAUUUGGUUGCUAUGAUAAAUAAUAUUUGAGUCUAUUUUAUGUGUAUAUGUCAAUAUGGUUGAUGUUGGGAAAAUGUGUGAAUAUUUUGUAUUUAAAUAUAGAAGGAGGGUGUAGUGAUACACCAUCGAACUAAAUGUUGUGUAGGGUUACUACUUACUCCACUUUGUAUGUUGUUUAGAGGGUGUAAUGAAGCCAAAGUUGUUUCGGAGGAU
RNAcentral lists this long non-coding RNA (508 nucleotides) under Solanum tuberosum (potato). RNAcentral's name for it is "long non-coding RNA (STUB_LNC010805)". The record is from RNAcentral. Lineage: Eukaryota; Viridiplantae; Streptophyta; Magnoliopsida; Solanales; Solanaceae.